GAAAAGCCAUAAAAAGGUUGUUCUAGCCUUGUACGUGUUCUCAGAUUAGACUCUCUUUGAGGUACGACUCUGAUAGUUCAGACUUUGCCAUAUUUCUGAAGAAAGUGAGGCAACAAAGUUUCACUAAACUUGAAAUGAUGUGGUUAAUAGCAUUCAUAGUCGGAUUACCUGUUUGGACAUUCCGUGUGGUAACAAGGACUUGGACACAACUUUCAUCUUGGAUUAUUGAACACUUCCAGCCAUUUUCCUGUGCGGACUGCCCCUUCGUGCAGCUAAGAAGGUUAACAAGGCAGCAAUACCAGAAGAUGCGAGACAUUCAGAUUCGCCAGAGAAUCACAGCACAGGCAACAAUUGGUAGAAUAAGACUGAUAGCGUCACAUUUCUGUACAAGUUCCAAAAUCAGCUUUGCGGAUGUUUUCAGAUUCCAUUAUAUAAUCUUCAAGGCUACGAAAGAAGUGUUAUACUUAAUAUUUCUUAGUGCCUGGUUAGAGGAAUUCCGCAUUAUAUACACUUUCUUGCGCAGACUUACAUAGAUUGCUUAUAAACUUAAUAAUAUUACAAUCACCUAAAUUUCACUUUUAUCGAAUUUUGAGAAAAAUGGAUACAAAUUAGAUGUGCAUUAAAAUUUCUAAUUAGUUGAAUCUUCUCAGCAACAUUUUAAAUCUUGAAUGCUAAUUUCUAGUUCAUAAUUAAUCUUAUAUUUUUACUUCUUUAU
This is a long non-coding RNA of Stegodyphus dumicola, 715 nucleotides long. RefSeq lists it as uncharacterized. NCBI's taxonomy places the organism in Eukaryota, Metazoa, Arthropoda, Arachnida, Araneae, Eresidae. The record is from RefSeq and is a predicted model, not a curated record.